This 270-nucleotide ribosomal RNA is filed under the name uncultured archaeon. RNAcentral describes it as "partial 16S ribosomal RNA". It matches the Rfam family "Archaeal small subunit ribosomal RNA", at positions 477 to 747 of the family's 1478-position model. The record is from RNAcentral.
CAGCACCUCAAGUGGUCAGGAUGAUUAUUGGGCCUAAAGCAUCCGUAGCCGGCGCUGCAAGUUUUCGGUUAAAUCUGUACGCUCAACGUACAGGCUGCCGGGAAUACUGCAGCGCUAGGGAGUGGGAGAGGUAGACGGUACCCGGUAGGAAGGGGUAAAAUCCUUUGAUCUAUUGAUGACCACCUGUGGCGAAGGCGGUCUACCAGAACACGUCCGACGGUGAGGGAUGAAAGCUGGGGGAGCAAACCGGAUUAGAUACCCGAGUAGUCC